UUUUUCCUUUUUAACUGAUCUCUUCUUAUAAAGGGCAAGACGUUCAACUUUGCAUUAAUGGUUCCCGAUUCAACAAUGCAGAUUCGCCACUCAACCUCCGGUGUUUGUUGAGCGCAUCCCAUUAAGCCAUCCUGUGUUCAGUGCGGUGCACGAGUGAAGAUAAAUCUCUCUGGAUCCUGACCUCAAGCAGCUUAGAGUCUAGUAGUUGAAGUCAGAUAUGUGCCUAAGUAACCACAACACAAAGCAGCAAGAGGUGCAUCAUAUGAAGCAAAAAUGGGAAGUAAAAAGCAUUGCUUUCAGCAGUGGACUAGGGCCACGUCUAACAGAAGAUUGUCAUGGUGAAGGGAAAGUUGACCUUGGCAGCAAGAAUGUACUAGAGACUGGAGUGACAGAAGCCAGUUAGAGGCUACCCAAAUUUUUUUGUGUAUUAUGUUUUAUAUUGAAUAUAUGCAAUUUCAUAAUGUAACACCUUAGAUUACUUAUAUGUAUGGAAUGAAUGUGGAUAAACAAAUUGUCAUAUAUUCAUACAAUGGGAUACUAUUCAGCUAUAAAAAGAAACAAACUAUUGUACUGAUUCAUGCAAUGAUAAGGAUGAAUCUCCCAGACAUUAUUCUGAACAGAAGAAACUAGACACAGAAUUAGGAAGACUGUAUGACUCUGUUUAUGUGAUGAAAUUCUAGAACAGAGUAAAGAAAUCUAUGUUGACAAAUCGGAUCGGUGAUUGACUAGGGUGUCAUGAUACAGGUGCAAAUGAGCAAAAGGAAACUUUCCGGGGAAAUAUUCUAUAUCUUAAAUGGGGACAUGGUAACAUGGAUGAAUGUUUGUCAGAAUUCAUCUAUUUCUACAUAGAAUGUGUGAAUUUUACCACAAUAAAAUUUACUUAAAAAUUAGAAAAUGGUAAAGCAUAAGAAGUUCCUAUGGUCAGCAAGGUACUUAAUUUGUAAUUGGUCAUCUCUAAAUUGUGUUAAUUCACUAUUAAAUGUAGUUUUAAAAAAGAAAAUAAACUCACUUUAACAAAGAA
Long non-coding RNA from Pteropus alecto (black flying fox), 1021 nucleotides. RefSeq lists it as uncharacterized. Lineage: Eukaryota; Metazoa; Chordata; Mammalia; Chiroptera; Pteropodidae. The transcript is spliced from 2 exons. The record is from RefSeq and is a predicted model, not a curated record.